RNA transcript from Syzygium oleosum, 2794 nucleotides. It is a transcript of the gene named putative pentatricopeptide repeat-containing protein At1g17630, with no coding region annotated. Lineage: Eukaryota; Viridiplantae; Streptophyta; Magnoliopsida; Myrtales; Myrtaceae. The record is from RefSeq and is a predicted model, not a curated record. The transcript has 2 exons.
UGUGGGACCGUUAUAUCUGUUGUUCAAUGAGUUGAGUCGCUUGGAUUACGCGCGUCCGUGGAGCAAGCACCACUAUCGUGCUUCAUGCUUCACUCUCCCCGCCCGAAACUCAUCCCCAGAGCUCGUCUCGCGUUCGCAUUGAACUUCACCGAUCGCCGCCUCUUCUCUUCGCUCUCCCACGAACGAUCUCAACCCAGCUCGCCCUCAUCCUCUCCCGCCCGCAAUGAACUCCUCGAUCUCUUCGAUCACCUCCUCCGGCGAUGCUGCUCGGCCGAGCAACCAGGACGCGUCCACGCGCGCAUUGUCGUCGCCGGCGCUUCCGACUCCGCGUUCUUGGCGGCUCGGCUGGUGUCGGUCUACGCCCGGUUCGGGCUUCUCGGCAAUGCCCGCAUAGUGUUUGAUGAAACGCCGGCGGAGUGCAAGUCAAAUUUGCUUCUGUGGAACUCGAUCUUGAGAGCUUAUACCUCUAAUGGGUGUCAUGAAGAAGCUUUGGAGCUAUAUGUUGGGAUGAGAAAAGUCGGGGUUUUGGGUGAUGGGUUCACUUUUCCUUUGGUGAUGAGAGAUUGUGCCGAAAUGGGUCGCUCAAUCUGGUGCAGGAGUGUUCAUUGUCACGCUUUGCAAAUGGGCUUGCACCAUAAUUUGCAUGUGGUGAAUGGAUUGAUGGGUAUGUAUGCGAAGCUUGGGCAAAUGGGCAGCGCGCUUCAGCUGUUUGAUAGAAUGAGUGCUAGGAGCUGUAUUUCGUGGAACACGAUGAUCUCGGGCUUUGCAUUGAAAUUCGACUGUGAUGGGGCGCUUGAGAUGUUUCGGCGCAUGGAGUCUGAAGGAGUGGAGCCAAAUGUGGUCACAUGGACAUCGUUAUUGUCGAGUCAUGCCAGAAGUGGCCGCGAUGCCGAAACUGUGGAGUUAUUUGGUUUGAUGAGAAUGAGAGGAAUUGGUCCCAGUGCUGAAGUACUAGCUGUGGUUUUAUCUGUUUGUUCUAACAUGAUUGCACUCCACAUGAUUAAAGCAAUACAUGGACUUGUUAUAAAAGUUGGUUGCGAAGCUUAUUUGAUUGUGAAGAAUUCAUUAGUAUGUGCAUAUGGGAAGCAAAGACAAUUAAAAGAUGCUAGCCAAUUGUUCUUAGAAAUGGAAUCCAAGAACAUAGUCAGUUGGAAUGCUCUAAUUACAUCAUAUGCAGAGUCUGGAUUAUGUGACGAGGCUUUUGAAAUAUUCUCCCAGCUCAAGAAAUCCAAUGGUUGCUCAUUGGUGAGGCCCAAUGUGAUAAGUUGGAGUGUCAUCAUCGAUGCAUUUGCUUCUGCAGGGAGAGGGAGAGAGUCUUUGGAACUCUACAGACAAAUGCAGCUUGCCAACAUCGUGGGGAAUGCUGUAACCAUCUCCAGUGUCUUAUCAGUUUGUGCAGAGUUGGCGGCACUCAACCUUGGUCGGGAAGUCCACGGCCAUGUGGCUCGGGCUUUGUUGAAUCAUAACCUCCUGGUGGCAAACAGCUUGAUCACAAUGUACAUGAGAUGUGGAUGCCUUAAUGAGGGGAGCCUGGUGUUCAAGAAACUUGUUGCGAAGGACUUGAUCUCUUGGAACUCAAUGAUCGCGGGGUGUGGAAUGCACGGUUUAGGAAAAGAUGCAGUGAGAUAUUUCGAUGGAAUGGUGGAAACUGGAAUUAAGCCAGAUGAGGUCACUUUUGUUGCUGUUCUCUCUGCUUGUAGUCAUGCCGGGCUUGUUGUUGAGGGUCGUAAACUUUAUGAUCGAAUGACUGAAGAGUUUGGAAUUGAGCCACAGAUGGAACACUAUGCAUGUCUAGUUGAUCUGUUGAGCCGAUCUGGUUCCUUGCAGGAAGCUGGAGAGAUAGUAAAAGCCAUGCCAAUGACACCUAAUGUUUGUGUUUGGGGAGCUCUUCUUAAUGCUUGCAGGAUGUAUAGAGAUACAGAUUUUGCGGAGGCAACAGCCUCACACGUUUUCAAUCAGAAUUGGGAAACUACGGGAAGCUAUAUGCUUCUCUCUAACAUUUAUGCUGCAAAUGGCCAGUGGGAUGAUUCUGCAAGACUGCGGAUUUCUGCCAAGGAGAAGGGUUUGAAGAAAGUCCCAGGCCAGAGUUGGAUUGAGUUGAGUAAUAAGUUCUAUAUGUUUUCGUCCGGGAGGGCCUUGCAGUUGGGUAUGGAGGAUGUUCAUGGUGUUCUUGAAGAAUUGACACUUCAAAUGGAAACUGAAGACGUAAUACCUGCGAUAUUAUUAAAGACAGGUAGCUGAGGAUGAUUAAUUAGUCUCUGUUCGUGGAAUUGCUAAUUUCUUCACCCAUAUGGCCAAUAGAUUAUUGGCACAUAGAAGUUGGUUUAUACCUGAAGGAGGAAAAUUGUGGAUUGAGCAGCUCAGAAGUUCAACAAGUACGUGCCUUUAAGUGGAGUAGUUUGGCCGCAGACUUGUGGGCUAUUCUUCGAGGUUCAAAGUUGGUUUGGGACAGAGGCCACAGGCAGGUUCUGGUGGCGUCGGAUUCUUACACGGCAUUGAAGGGUCUGAAGACGGCUUCCGCGGGUGAGCGGAUCCUAAUGGCCAUCUUAUCGAAGGUUGCUGAAACCUCAUGUCACGCGAUUAAGAUUGCGCGGUGAGUCACAUAAGCCAAGAAAAGAAAGCUGUCGCCACUUGGUUGGCGAACCUUCCAGAAGUUAAUUCUUGGGGGCUAACUGAAUUAGACGACUCACCUCAGGAAUUAGCUCCUAGUUUGAAGAACUAGGACGAUUGUAAUCUCCCCGCCAAGUUGAUUGUUUGGCCCCAGGUUACUUCGGUUGAAGAGCACAAAAGGAAA